Molecule: non-coding RNA, 72 nt
Organism: Desulfobacterales bacterium C00003104
Lineage: Bacteria; Pseudomonadati; Thermodesulfobacteriota; Desulfobacteria; Desulfobacterales
Source: Rfam
GCCGGCGUAGCUCAGUGGUAGAGCAACUGAUUCGUAAUCAGUAGGUCGCGGGUUCAACUCCCAUCGCCGGCU